This 77-nucleotide transfer RNA is filed under the name Pseudomonas amygdali pv. morsprunorum. Its description in RNAcentral is "tRNA-Asp". It matches the Rfam family "tRNA". Rfam says of the family: Transfer RNA (tRNA) molecules are approximately 80 nucleotides in length. Their secondary structure includes four short double-helical elements and three loops (D, anti-codon, and T loops). Further hydrogen bonds mediate the characteristic L-shaped molecular structure. tRNAs have two regions of fundamental functional importance: the anti-codon, which is responsible for specific mRNA codon recognition, and the 3' end, to which the tRNAs corresponding amino acid is attached (by aminoacyl-tRNA synthetases). tRNAs cope with the degeneracy of the genetic code in two manners: having more than one tRNA (with a specific anti-codon) for a particular amino acid; and 'wobble' base-pairing, i.e. permitting non-standard base-pairing at the 3rd anti-codon position. Lineage: Bacteria; Pseudomonadati; Pseudomonadota; Gammaproteobacteria; Pseudomonadales; Pseudomonadaceae. The record is from RNAcentral.
GCAGCGGUAGUUCAGCCGGUUAGAAUACCGGCCUGUCACGCCGGGGGUCGCGGGUUCGAGUCCCGUCCGCUGCGCCA